Molecule: transfer RNA, 79 nt
Filed under: Armatimonadota bacterium
Lineage: Bacteria; Bacillati; Armatimonadota
Description: Armatimonadetes bacterium (bioreactor sludge metagenome) tRNA-Leu
Rfam family: tRNA
About the family: Transfer RNA (tRNA) molecules are approximately 80 nucleotides in length. Their secondary structure includes four short double-helical elements and three loops (D, anti-codon, and T loops).
Source: RNAcentral
GUGGCGAAAUUGGUAGACGCGCUGGAUUUAGGUUCCAGUUCUUCACGGAGUGAGGGUUCGAGUCCCUCCUUGCCCACCA